Molecule: ribosomal RNA, 828 nt
Filed under: uncultured bacterium
Lineage: Bacteria
Description: bacterial SSU rRNA
Rfam family: Bacterial small subunit ribosomal RNA
Source: RNAcentral
AGAGUUUGAUCCUGGCUCAGAACGAACGCUGGCGGCAGGCUUCAUACAUGCAAGUCGCGCGAUUAAAGCCCGCAAGGGUAUAUAGAGCGGCGAACGGGUGAGUAACAGGUGGAUAAUCUACCUUUCGGCGGGGGACAACGGCUGGAAACGGCCGCUAAUACCGCAUGUGGUUGCCAGAACCCUGGUUUCGGCAAAGAAAGGGGCUGCAAGGCCCCACCGAAAGAUGAGUCCGCCCCCCAUUAGCUAGUUGGCGGGAUAAUAGCCCACCAAGGCUUUGAUGGGUAGCCGAGCUGAGAGGUUGUUCGGCCACACUGGAACUGAGACACGGUCCAGACACCUACGGGUGGCAGCAGUAGGGAAUAUUGGACAAUGGGCGAAAGCCUGAUCCAGCCAUGCCGCGUGAGUGACGAAGGCCUUCGGGUCGUAAAACUCUUUUCUGAGGGAAGAACAUCCCGCGUAGGAAAUGACGCGGGCUUGACGGUACCUCAGGAAUAAGCAACGGCUAACUCCGUGCCAGCAGCCGCGGUAAUACGGAGGUUGCAAGCGUUGUUCGGAAUAACAGGGCGUAAAGGGAGCGCAGGCGGUUUGGUAAGUUCAAAGUGAAAGCCCGGGGCUUAACCUCGGAAGUGCUUUGGAUACUGCCUUACUCGAGUUCGUGAGAGGAAAGCGGAAUUCCAGGUGUAGCGGUGAAAUGCGUAGAUAUCUGGAGGAACACCGGUGGCGAAGGCGGCUUUCUGGCGCGAUACUGACGCUGAGGCUCGAAAGCAUGGGGAGCGAACAGGAUUAGAUACCCUGGUAGUCCAUGCCGUAAACGUUGUGCACUAGGUG